Molecule: ribosomal RNA, 462 nt
Filed under: uncultured bacterium
Lineage: Bacteria
Description: bacterial SSU rRNA
Rfam family: Bacterial small subunit ribosomal RNA
Source: RNAcentral
AUACGGGAGGCAGCAGUGGGGAAUUUUGGACAAUGGGCGAAAGCCUGAUCCAGCCAUGCCGCGUGCGGGAAGAAGGCCUUCGGGUUGUAAACCGCUUUUGUCAGGGAAGAAAUCCUUUGAGUUAAUACCUCGGGGGGAUGACGGUACCUGAAGAAUAAGCACCGGCUAACUACGUGCCAGCAGCCGCGGUAAUACGUAGGGUGCGAGCGUUAAUCGGAAUUACUGGGCGUAAAGCGUGCGCAGGCGGUUAUGUAAGACAGGUGUGAAAUCCCCGGGCUUAACCUGGGAACUGCACUUGUGACUGCAUAGCUUGAGUGCGGCAGAGGGGGAUGGAAUUCCGCGUGUAGCAGUGAAAUGCGUAGAUAUGCGGAGGAACACCGAUGGCGAAGGCAAUCCCCUGGGCCUGCACUGACGCUCAUGCACGAAAGCGUGGGGAGCAAACAGGAUUAGAUACCCUAGUAU